GGCGAAUGUGGGGGCGGCUCCCAACAGUCACCCAUCCAUUAGUGGCUCAUGUGUUCUUAAGACAAACUCAGCAGGCUGUACCUGUCCAGAUUUCUGCUAAAGCCCUGUGGAUGAAGAGCCUGCUAACUCCAAAGAGAUGGACCCCAGUCCUACUCUUAGAGUCCCCACUGCAGAGGUCCAGGUGAAACCAGAGCUUCUGCCUGCAUGGAACAAGAGCAAGAGAAAGAGUUCACUGAAGGACAGCCUUGCAGAACAUGGGGAGAAUCAUCAGGCAGGUGACUCCAGGCCUGUGCACACAGGAGGUAGGCGACAAGUGGAUCACACUUGCUGCCCUUCAGGAGUGCAGAGACUACCCGCAGGAUUAAACAGGAUCUCAGAGUUUUCGGGAAAGCUGCGGACCCAAGUCUGGUCCUAAUAAUGCUGAAUGUAGAACCCACGGCCGCUCCCUUUAUCCAAGGGCUGGCUUUGCCCAUAGCUGUCUAGAGUCUUCCAUCCUCCGUAGUUACAGCAGGUCUGGCCAUAAAUCCUGAGUGGGAAGCUCAGAAUAUGGGCAGGUUUGCCUAGAGAUACCAGACCAUCCCCGCAUCUUCUAAAGAGUCUGAGGAAUGGGGUACUGGGGUAGGAAUGGGGCUGGAACCCGACAGGUCAUGAGAGAAGCACAGAGUAACACUUUGCCUGGUUCCUGGCACAGAUGGGACAUUUGACAAGUGGCAGUAUAUAUAUUUUUUCUUGCUUCAGCUUUGACAGUUCUGGAUUUGAUGGUGAAUAAAUUUCUGAGCUUCUGUUUCCUCUGUAA
RNAcentral lists this long non-coding RNA (796 nucleotides) under Mus musculus (house mouse). RNAcentral's name for it is "RIKEN cDNA 2610035D17 gene". Lineage: Eukaryota; Metazoa; Chordata; Mammalia; Rodentia; Muridae. The record is from RNAcentral.